GAGAAAUACGGACGGAAUCGGGCUGGUCGUCGGCGAGAUCGCACCGGAUCAAAGCGAAGACAGCCGUCGCUCUCAAUCGAUUUGCCGAUCUAUUUACGACGUGUUUAUUAUGCUCGCGGUGUCUUUUCGGUCGCGCCGAAAAUGUCGGUGUCUUUUUUUUCUUCUCUCGGAAUCGGAUCGUCGAGAGGGAAUUUCGCGAAAAUAUAGGCACAUUUGAAAACUGCGCCCCGAAGCCUACCAUGUUCAAGCGUGACUCAUCAUUAUUUCGUUUCGGCGCUCUUUGUGCCACGUUGACCGGUUAAUGUUUAUAAGCCGAUCGUCAUCGGAGAAGAAAUGGAAAUGAAUCUUCCCUCCAGUUAAAAGAAUCUGAAACCGAAGAUAAAAUAUUCAAAAUGCGACGUAACAUUUUGCCGGGAGAACACGUAGCCUCUCCGUAUCAUCGAACAUCGGAACUCCACGUAAAUGUAACCCCAGCGAAUUAUAUUAGACCAAUAAGGCAACGCAUCAUUGCUGCAACACGCAGCACAUAAAAGCACACACGUAAGGUGUGACAACAAGAAUCGCGGGGAUUGAAAUCCAGAAGGAUCGCAAGAGAGUAAGAAAAA
Pseudomyrmex gracilis is the source of this 605-nucleotide long non-coding RNA. RefSeq lists it as uncharacterized. The record is from RefSeq and is a predicted model, not a curated record. The transcript is spliced from 4 exons. Lineage: Eukaryota; Metazoa; Arthropoda; Insecta; Hymenoptera; Formicidae.